UUGGUGUUAUAUCUUACAGUGAG
This 23-nucleotide microRNA is filed under the name Aedes aegypti (yellow fever mosquito). RNAcentral describes it as "Aae-Mir-971_3p (mature (guide))". The record is from RNAcentral. RNAcentral also lists the same sequence under 1 other name. Lineage: Eukaryota; Metazoa; Arthropoda; Insecta; Diptera; Culicidae.